This 470-nucleotide ribosomal RNA is filed under the name uncultured bacterium. RNAcentral describes it as "bacterial SSU rRNA". It matches the Rfam family "Bacterial small subunit ribosomal RNA", at positions 29 to 506 of the family's 1533-position model. The record is from RNAcentral.
AUGAACGCUGGCGGCGUGGCUAAGGCAUGCAAGUCGAGCGAAUUGCAUUUGGUAGCAAUACUGGAUGCAGUUAGCGGCAAACGGGUGCGUAACACAUUGGUAACUUUCCCUUGAAUCGUGAAUAGCCCUUCGAAAGGAGGAGUAAUACACGAUGGACAUGCGGGGUCAUAAGACAUUCGCAUGUAAAGAAGAAAUUCGUUCAAGGAGAGGCCUAUGGCCUAUCAGCUUGUUGGUGAGGUAAAAGCUCACCAAGGCUAUGACGGGUAGGGGGCGUGAGAGCGUGGCCCCCCUCACUGGGACUGAGACACUGCCCAGACGCCUACGGGCGGCUGCAGUCGCGAAUCUUCCGCAAUGGACGAAAGUCUGACGGAGCGACGCCGCGUGCAGGAUGAAGGCCUUCGGGUCGUAAACUGCUUUUGUUAGAGAAGAAUUUUGACGGUAUCUUUCGAAUAAGAGGUUGCUAACUCUGU